This 564-nucleotide ribosomal RNA is filed under the name uncultured bacterium. RNAcentral's name for it is "bacterial SSU rRNA". It matches the Rfam family "Bacterial small subunit ribosomal RNA", at positions 338 to 916 of the family's 1533-position model. The record is from RNAcentral.
CCUACGGGAGGCAGCAGUGGGGAAUUUUCCGCAAUGGGCGCAAGCCUGACGGAGCAAGACCGCGUGAGGGAGGAAGGCUCUUGGGUUGUAAACCUCUUUUAUCAGGGAAGAAGAUCUGACGGUACCUGAUGAAUCAGCAUCGGCUAACUCCGUGCCAGCAGCCGCGGUAAUACGGAGGAUGCAAGCGUUAUCCGGAUUUAUUGGGCGUAAAGCGUCCGCAGGUGGUUAUUCAAGUCUGCUGUUAAAGCGCGAGGCUUAACUUCGUACAGGCAGUGGAAACUGGAUGACUGGAGUAUGGUAGGGGUAGCGGGAAUUCCCAGUGUAGCGGUGAAAUGCGUAGAUAUUGGGAAGAACACCAGCGGCGAAAGCGCGCUACUGGGCCAUUACUGACACUCAUGGACGAAAGCUAGGGGAGCGAAAGGGAUUAGAUACCCCUGUAGUCCUAGCUGUAAACGAUGGGUACUAGGUGUUGACCGUAUCGACCCGGUCAGUGCCGUAGCUAACGCGUUAAGUACCCCGCCUGGGGAGUAUGCACGCAAGUGUGAAACUCAAAGGAAUUGACGG